This 662-nucleotide long non-coding RNA is filed under the name Homo sapiens (human). Its description in RNAcentral is "HSALNT0343076". The record is from RNAcentral. Lineage: Eukaryota; Metazoa; Chordata; Mammalia; Primates; Hominidae.
CUCUCUCCCGCCACUUUGUGAAGAAGGUGCCUGCUUCCCCUUCUGCCAUGAUUGUAAGUUUCCUGAGGCCUCCGAGCUAUGCAGAACUCUGACACCUUGUGUGGAAUUAAAGAAUGCAGAGAAUCAGUAUUAACUCUCGGGAUCCUGGACCUAGUGUAAAUGGAGCUCUCUACGAACUCUUCAGGAGUCCCUCAACUUACCCAUCAAAAUGUUUUACAGAUUGCAUCAUCUUGAGAUGAGCAGCUGCUUCAUCUUUGGUAAGAAGAAUGCAGUUCCAGGGGGACCACUCCAGGGAUUUAUUCCAUCUGACCAUGACCAGAUCACUGAGAUUGUCGCAAGCACUGAGGACUGACUGGGACGCCCAGAUGUUCUCUGUCAGGUACCUGCUGGUAUUGAUCAAGUCCUGAGAGAUAACACCAAGAUUCAAUGAAAGCUCAACCAAGAAGGGACUCAAAAAUACUUUAUCUAAAAGACAUCAAAUAACGAACCAGUUUGGACAGUGACAGUUAUGAUUUGAGAGACAUCAGUUAAUCCAUCUAUUCUUCUGACUGGAUACAGAUCUGGAUUUGUAGAAAAGAUUUCCACUUGUACAAUUUCCUGUGGCUUAACUCCAUGUUGUACUAGAGUCUCAUUAUUUUUAAGAAUUUUUCCUAAAAAUUGAA